CCAAGAGCCGUCAAAUGUAUCUUUGUGGGCUAUUCUUCCACAAAAAAGGGAUAUCGGUGUUGGUCGCCUACUGAAAGGAGAUUCUUUGUCAAGAGGAGAUGGAAACAGAAGAUGGGGAAGGUGUACCUCAGGAAGUUGAUGAAGAAGUUGUGAAUCAAUCACAAGUACUAGAGGAGGCACCAACAAGUGAAGAAAUGGCCCAUGAUGAGGGUGAUGUUGAAGGUGUACUUCCUCUUUUAGGAGCUUUAUUGCAUCCUUGGAUUCCAUAUCAGUACCUAAAGAUUGGAAGGAUGCAGUGAAUGAUCCUAAAUGGAAAGCAGCAAUGUUGGAGGAAAUGUAUGCUCUAGAAAAGAAUAAUACAUGGCAAUUGGUAGAAUGGCCGAAGGGCAAGGAACCAGUCGGAUGCAAAUGGGUUUAUACCAUUAAGUGUAACCCUGAAGGUAAAAUAGAAAGGUAUAAAGCUCGGUUGGUGGCCAAAGGCUACACACAGACUCGUGGUGUUGAUUAUGAGGAAACAUUUGCCCCUGUAGCAAAAAUGAAUACAGUAAGAACUUUGAUAUCUUGUGCAGCUAAUCUUGGAUGGAAUUUGUUUCAGAUGGAUGUAAAAAAUGCAUUCUUACAUGGAGACCUUCAGGAGGAAAUUUAUAUGC
Long non-coding RNA from Triticum aestivum (bread wheat), 650 nucleotides. RefSeq lists it as uncharacterized. The transcript is spliced from 3 exons. NCBI's taxonomy places the organism in Eukaryota, Viridiplantae, Streptophyta, Magnoliopsida, Poales, Poaceae. The record is from RefSeq and is a predicted model, not a curated record.